UUGACAGAUAACAGCAGACUAGAGUCUAGAGUACAGUCAGUUCCAUUAUUUUCUCAGUGAUAGUUAAUUUAUUAAAUAACCAAUACAUAAAGUGUAUCUAUAACUUAAUAAAUAAUCAAAAAUGAUAUUGUUCUGAUAUAAUAGUAUUAAAAAAAAUUAUUUGUAAACCAAUAAGUACCUAAUUUGCUAGUGAGACCCGUGUCGAAUUGUUUUACGGCAAAUUCAUUGAAGCAAACUAGAAGGGAUUUGUUUUCGAAUUCCAUACGAGUCAUAGAUGUUUACCUUUUAUGCUAACGGAAGUGUUCUACAUUUUCCUUGAAAUAUUUUGUUUAAUCUAUAGUGUGAGUCUCAGCUAGUAUCGAAAUUGGUUAAUGGAUGGGCACAAUUUGUGAUCCAUUGACAAAAGGACAGCUAAUGGAUCCAAGUUACUGAUACCAACUUAUUCGGCUAUUGUUCAUAAUUUAGAUCUACAAUGGGGAAGUUUUCGGGUAAGAAGUGUCGUUUACUGUCCAUGCUAUGGUUAACAGGGACAUUUUUCUUUGUGGAGCUCAUAGUCGGUUAUGUUACGAACUCUAUGGCAUUGGUCGCUGAUUCCUUCCACAUGUUGAGUGAUGUCGCAGCUCUUGUUAUUGCAUUUUUAUCUGUUAAGAUGUCACCAAAGAAAUGGUCGAAGAAUACCUUUGGUUGGGCGCGUGCGGAAGUUUUGGGGGCUCUUGUGAAUGCUGUGUUCCUGGUAGCGCUGUGCUUCAGCAUCACAGUGGAGGCUGUGCAGAGAUUCAUCCGAGCUGAGAUGAUACAUAACGCUCAGCUGCUUGUAGCCGUCGGCACUUUAGGACUUGUUCUCAAUAUCAUUGGACUGUUUCUGUUCCACGAGCACGGUAGUAGCCAUGGUCAUAGCCACGGGGUGGUGCCACCUCCAUCCAACGUCCGCCACCUGUCGGAGCUGGUGAACAGCAACGUGGAUAUGGCACUGGGGCAUGCUACCACCGACACUGAGGAGACAGACGAGAUGGUACCACCGAAAGUGGUCAAGAUACCAAACGACCAAACACCCAAGACACACUCAGACCCUGGCAAUCUGAACAUGAAGGGUGUCUUCCUGCACGUGCUGUCUGAUGCGUUGGGUUCCUUAAUAGUCGUCAGCUCAGCGCUCGUGGUGUGGCUGACUGAGUGGCGAUACAAGUACUACAUCGACCCGGCACUCAGUAUAGUGCUGGUUAUUCUGAUACUGGCAUCAGUCUGGCCGCUGUUGAGGGAAUCAGCUCUCAUACUGCUGCAGACAGUGCCGACACAUAUACAGGUGGAUGCCAUCCAAAGACGUCUCCUGGAGAAGGUGGACGGUGUGCUGGCGGUGCACGAGUUUCACGUCUGGCAGUUAGCUGGAGAUAGAAUUAUAGCCAGCGCUCACAUACGGUGUAGGAACCUGUCGGAGUACAUGAAAAUAGCUGAGAAAGUUAAGGAGUUCUUCCACAACGAGGGCAUACACUCGACCACCAUACAGCCGGAGUUUGUGGAACUGCCGCUGGAUGGGAACGAGAUCACUAGCGGGGCUUCAGCGGAGGCCCCGUGUGCCUUACAUUGCCCCCCCAACGACCUCUGUCACAACGCUACUUGCUGUGGACCACAUCAGGAGAAUCAAUGGGGUCCAGAUGUAGAUACAACGAGACCUAGAAACAGAGCACCCCCUAUUUAUGUCGUCAGAGAAACAUGGGAUCGCGAGCAGAGCCUUUGAACUCUGACCUCGAUAGCUCCGGGAAUCCCACCGCUAGGAAUCUUGACGCUUUGGAAUGCGGAUCACUGUUGCCUUUCCCGAUGCUAGAAGGACGUUUGACAGCUUGACGGACAGCCGCUUAAUUUUUCGCGACCAAAACAAAUAUAAAAAAAAAAAAAUUCACGACAUUAAAUUAAUUUCAUUUUUAAUCAGUUACAUUAAUUAAAUUAAUGAUAAAUUUUGUUACAGCCAAAUAAAUAUAGCUUUGUUUUGUGACGUUCGACUGGUGAUACGGUGAAAUGUCCGUGUCAAUGUCAAUGUCAAUGUCAAGCGGAUGUGUUGUUAGUGUAGGCUUUCGCGGUUUAUAUAAAAGAGAUUGUUGAAAACGCCUUAUCCGAUAGACAAUCGGACGGCGGCUGUCGUUUAAGUCUUCAAGACAAUCGUGUCAGGGUUGCUAGUUAUAAAAUAAAUGAUUAAUGUUGUAAGUUAAAUUAUCAUCCAAGCAAAUAAUAUCCAAAUAUAUGUGAAUGCGUCAACAUGGAAAUACAGUCGCGUGUAUUAUAUAUGAAUAAUGGAAAUAAUUAUCACUCUAAACACGAAUCUACACCGAUAGACUGAACUCGCGGGGUUGCCAGUUCAUCGUUCAUAGAUCUCCACAUAAGUUAUUCUGGUAGAUGUGAAUGAAAAGCUUUAAACUCUCCGUAUUAAGUUUAUCGAUGAAAAUUUACAAUAAGUGUCAGAAUAUAAAAAUAUAUUUACUGCAACAAUAUUAUAUUUAUAUGAGCGGAUCAUCGCAAUUAUAAUAAAAUAAUCUCAAAGUACAACAACAAUACGACUCGUGUCGGUUUUCUGGAUUAAAUCCGUUCGUUGGAACAGAAGAAAAUCGAUAAUCUAUAGAAUUAUCGAUUUUUUUUCAUAUGACAGGUUGUACGCGCUUAAUGAGAAUUGCAGUAUUGACAUAACAUAUAUAGGAAGACAGCAAUUCGUGGUCUAUUUUGACGUCGCAACGUACAAGGCACUGUCCACAACGUACGAUCGUGUAUUUGAUAUUGAUUUUCCCUUAAAAGAUAAGUUCGUGGACACCAAACCUUUAUACGAAGAUAUAACUAAUAGGAAUUAACUAUGUGUUGACAUGAUUCCUCAUAGUUAUAAUUAUAUAUUAGCAUGUAAAUUAGUAUAAACUAAAAAUAUUCUCAUAGAAGAUCAGCAUCCUUAGUACAUACAUUCAUAAGCCAUAGUUGAUACCACAUUUCCGAAGUUUUAAGAAUUUAAACUUUAAAACGCUCCGUAUUGAGUUUGACUGUGUAACUUUAUGGUAAAAUUACUGUGCCCUUACACAUGUCUUCAUUCAUAAAUAUCCGAAAAUUAUAGGUACUAUCAAAGUAUCUGAAUUACUACAAAUAGUUUGUUUAGUCUAAACUUGUAGUAAAUUUACGUGAACGGAAGAGACGUUUCUUUCGUUAAAAUUUUUAGUUGUAAUUUUUAUACAGCGUGUUCUCUGCAUAAACAUAAUUAAUAAUUAUAGCAUUUAGCGCCAAUAACUUUAGCGUAUUUUCUACAAUACAUAUACUUUAGUUAACAAUAAUUUAAGUAUAAUCGUGUGAUCAUAAAACAAACUACCUUUUGAUAGCAAAGCAAUAAAUAAUAUAUAAGUCAGGUCAGUAUAGAGUUACACCGCCUUUAUAUACAACCACCGUUAUUGUACACUAUACAAACGUGAGAAGAUUUUUUUUAUCGUCAGAGCUGGCUUAGCAACGAUUUACUGUUUUUGAGCACAGAUUAUGUCACUGCUCGUUUGAAUCUUAUGAUAUGUAAGUCCAAUUUAAGAUUUCUAUCGAAUUUCAGUACCACGGAAAUCAUGAAGCGAUUUACGCUGAUUGUUUUCAUUCACAACAUUAUAAAAUAAAAUAUACUUAAAAAAAAAAAUGUGAUAAUUUAUCCUCGUUUAGUUCGGUUUUAGCGGAAUUUAGAUGUACGGGUAACAGUAGAUAGUGAAUCAAAAAUUAUGUGCAGUUCGUCCAGAAAUUAUCGUCGAAAACUUAGCUUCGUAUGCGAGCUGGUUUUAAAUGACAUCGCAGUAAGUGGAAGCUGUUCAAUAACACAAACUGUCUUUGUAAACAUCGAUCGUGAAAAUUAAAAAUAUGUUUUUUUUUUUUAAUUAUUUAUUUACUAAAAACAUUGUUAAUAUAAAUCAACUAAAAAUAGGUUUAAAUGGCAUAAUUAAAUUAACUAAAUUAACUUAAUGUAUAUGUUAUAUUAUUUUACUAACUUCUGUAUCUAUGUGCUGUUAGUUUUAACUGUUUUUUUUUUUAACCGUUCGACCCUUGCUACUUCGGUUAAAUAUAUUUAAAUAAAAGAUAAGAUUAUUUAAAAUUUUAGUGAAAAAAUAUCUUUUCGUCCAUAAAUAAGGCUUGUAAAAAUCACGUCUAUUUUAUAUAUUAGAUAUAACUGAUGAAGUAUGCAAUGAUUGUGAAAUGUUUGAUUACAAUUAACGGAGCAAUUGAAAUCUGUAUUAGAAUCGAUAUAACGAGACCGCCAUAGCUAAAGAACGCACAAGGACAGAAUUUUUCAUUCACUUCACUAACUAGUAUUUGAAGUCAAAUUUCACCGACACUUCAAAGAUUUUACAAUAGAAGCUAGCACAAAGAGGCUUGCAAAAUAACUUGCAAAUUAACUUUUCAUUUACGGCUGUGAAAGGCUUCACUUUCGCCUUCACUCAUUAGUAUAAAAAAAAAUAUAUGAAUUUAAUAGCUAAUUAGAUUAAAGAAAUAAGUUAAUGUUAUAACAAAAUUAUAGUAUUAAAUUCUCAGUGCUCAAUAUAUAAACAUGUUUGUUUGUGUCCGGGCGCGGUAUUAAUUUUAUCUCAGCCAAUAAUUACUGCUAUUAAAAAAUAAUUCUUAUUUAUAGUGAAAUCUAAACUAAUAUUGAAAAUUGUUAAUCUUGGUUCGUAUGUUAGUGAAUUGUGGAAAUGUAUUUUCACGGUUAAUAAAAACGUGCGAUUUGAA
Danaus plexippus (monarch butterfly) is the source of this 4716-nucleotide RNA transcript. RefSeq lists it as uncharacterized. NCBI's taxonomy places the organism in Eukaryota, Metazoa, Arthropoda, Insecta, Lepidoptera, Nymphalidae. The record is from RefSeq and is a predicted model, not a curated record. The transcript is spliced from 11 exons.